This 1806-nucleotide long non-coding RNA is filed under the name Populus tremula. Its description in RNAcentral is "long non-coding RNA (PTRE_LNC000161)". The record is from RNAcentral. Lineage: Eukaryota; Viridiplantae; Streptophyta; Magnoliopsida; Malpighiales; Salicaceae.
AGGAAAUAAGUGAAAAAGGUAAGAUUUAGGUUGUUUAAUGUGUAUAAUAUGUUAAUUAAGCUUUAAUUUCAGUUUUUAUGAAUGUUAGGGUUUUGAGAAUUUGUGUUUGAUUUAAAUUGAUGAAUUAAAUUGAAGGUUAGGGGUUGAUUGUUGUGUUUAAUUGAUGAUUUAGUUGAUUAUGGAAGAUUAUGAUGAUUUUGAGUUAUAGAAUUUGUAAAUGGUGAAAUUGUGUUAGAAAUCAGGGGAGAACAGUGGGUUUCUGUUAAAUCUGGACUGGAGGUUGAAGAUGACGAAAAUUCAAUUUGGUCCCUCAAUUUCCGAAAAUUACAGUUUAGUCCCCGAACUUUGGAAAAUUACAAAUUGGUCCCUGGAGCAUAUUCCGAGAUUCUGAACAGAAUAACAUAUGAAUUAUGGACAUAAUUACUGUAUAGAUAAGAGAAUUUAACACUUUCAAUUUAGUCCUCCAAUUUGACAAAAAGUACGAUUUGACCCUAAAAAUUUAGUAAAAUUCCAGAAUGAUCCCUGAAGCAUAAUGAUACAUCCUGGACAGAAUUGAGGAUUAAUUAAGGUCAGAAUUUCAGUAUAUUCAUGGAUUUAUGACAAAUUUCAGUUUGGUCCUCCAUUUGACAAAAGUUACAAUUUGGCCCUAAAAAUAUGGAAAAAUUCCAGAUUAGUCCCUAGCUGUAAUAUUAGCUUUUGCAGAUUAGUUUGAUGAAUAAUUAAGGGUUAUUUAGUGAAUUAUUACCAAUUUUAUUAGUUGUUUUUAUUAUGGAUUAGAUUUCGGGAAAACCGUUAGAUUUUGGGUUUUUAAGAAAAUUGACUAGUUAGUUCAAAAAAUAUAGGGUUACGAAUACACCCUUAGUUAAGUGUAUUAAAUAGGUUAAAUGUUCUUUCGAGUCGUUUUUGAAUAUGUCUCCUUUGUAUUCAGAUAAUCCUGAUAUUCUACCGGCAGGACGUCAGUAGAAUUUCCUUCGGUUUCAGCUUGUGUGUUGUUUGCUUUUGAGUCAGGUGAGUGGAUAAUUUUCCAUAUGCAUGAGAAAUAUUAUAAAUAUUUGAUUUGUUAAUAUGAAUUGGAUCAUGCUUCUUGAUAAUAUAUAUGCUGAUUAUUAUCCUUGAUAUGAUAAAGCAUGAUCAAUUAUUGAAUCUGAUUUCUUGAUAUGAACCAAUAUGAUUUGACUUCUGAAUUGAUAGCUCCUCAUUUGAUGGAUGUCAUGAGUUGAGCUUUGAGAUAUGAAUAUGUUUGUUUGAUUAUGAUUAUGAACCUAUGGUAUGUCAGUCAGAAUACCCAUGCUAACAGGGUAGUGUUAGUCUUUGUGCACAUCGUAUCUGAACCCUAGUUGGUCGGGGGAGUCACCAACCUGUGUGGACUGAUCAUCCCACAGUACGGAGCCUCAUGCUCAUUGCAUUUUGAUUUUCCGACGAGUUUUACCAUAUGAUAUUCUUGUUAUGGCCUAUUUGAUAAACCUUCGUAUAAGAACUAAAGCCAUACUUGUAUAUAUAUAUAUAUAUAUAUAUAUAUAUAUAUAUAUAUAUAUAUAUAUAUUCUCAUUGUUAUAUUACCUCGUAUGUGUAUAUUGAAUGUUAUCUAUUCACUGAGUUGUUGAACUCACCCUCUUAUUAUUUAUCCUUUUCAGGCUUAUAGCUUGAUAGUAGGUUACUUUUGUUGAACCUUCCGAACCUGCCUUUUGGUUGUAAUUUGUACCUUCUUUUUGUGUCAAGUUAGUGCUCCAAAACUAUGAAAUUAUUAACUCUUGUAUUAAGACAAUCGAAUUAUAUUAUGAAGUUGUUUGUUGUUAAUUAUGCGUU